This is a long non-coding RNA of Vidua macroura (Pin-tailed whydah), 1189 nucleotides long. RefSeq lists it as uncharacterized. The record is from RefSeq and is a predicted model, not a curated record. Lineage: Eukaryota; Metazoa; Chordata; Aves; Passeriformes; Viduidae. The transcript is spliced from 5 exons.
GGGCUGUUCUCCCAGUUUGUGUUCAUGUCUAAGAUUGUCCUCACCCAGGUGCAGCACCUUGUACUUGGACUAGUUGAAUUUUGUGAGGUUCUUGUGGACCCAUUUCUCAUUUUUGUCCAGAGUUGCACCGUGGAUAAACUGAAGGCCAUAUAGUGUGAAAUGAAUAAAAAUACUCAGAUUGUUUACGCUGCUCUCUCUCCAGGACAAAACUCUCAAACGACUGGUGUGUAAAAGAGGAGAAUGGGCGAACCACGUGCCAGGCUACUGGAGGCCUGUCCUUUUCAUACCCUGUAAUUUUGCAGGGGAUUGUUUCAGCAGCGAAGAACAGAACAGAAGUUUAGAUGAUAGAAAAACAUGGGACCAUGUCUGAAAAAAAUGGAAUAUAAAGUACAGAAAAAACGUGCAAAGGAUGGAAAAAUAAUGCACAGGGAAACUCUGUAAUAAGCUUAAGCACAGCUGUGAGAAACUGUUCACUACUGUAUGAACCGUGGGUUAAGUGAAGGAGGGGAAAAGUGAAGAUGAGGAACGUGCAGAAGAAAAGACACAAACUCUGUUUUGGACAAUUUGGAUUUGCCCCUGGUCAUCCUGAUGUUUGCAGCAGGCCUGGCGACCAAGUGUGUUGGCUGCAUUUCAGUUUGUGGGCCAGCAAGAGUUUUAUCCCUUCCCUCAUCUCAUGUGUCACCCUGGUGCAGUGUGACUAUCAGUGCUCGCUUUUGUGUUCCCAGUGUGUGUGUGUCUGUGUGUGUCUGUGUGCAGGUGGAGUGCGUGCGCAUUAAGUGAGGUGGUGCCUGCAACUGAGCAGAGGAAGGAGGGAUGAAAGUGGUUAUGGGCACUCCUCUGACCCUCAAGAAUCCUGCUGUGCUGCUGCACUGCUUCUGUGGCUCGGAUCCAGCAGAGCUCUCGUGAAUGCCCUUUGCCUCCAGUGUGUGGUAGCUUACACCUCUGCUCUGCAGGAAUGCUUCAGCCUCCAGCCCUGGGGCUCUGCUGGCAGUCAAAGCUGGAGCACAGGAGGAAGGAAGGGUAGCACAAGCUGUUGAGAUGAGAGGGGGAAAGCAUACUCUGAGGUGCUGUCAUGAUGGCUGUGUACACCCUGGAAAAGUGGGAGAAAAAAAAGUGGAAAAACUGGUGACGGGGAAGGAAGUUUGCAUGCUCCCAUAUGCAAACAUAUGUUUGGUAAAACUCAGGGAAU